GGUUAAGCGACUAAGCGUACACGGUGGAUGCCCUGGCAGUCAGAGGCGAUGAAGGACGUGCUAAUCUGCGAUAAGCGUCGGUAAGGUGAUAUGAACCGUUAUAACCGGCGAUUUCCGAAUGGGGAAACCCAGUGUGAUUCGUCACACUAUCAUUAACUGAAUCCAUAGGUUAAUGAGGCGAACCGGGGGAACUGAAACAUCUAAGUACCCCGAGGAAAAGAAAUCAACCGAGAUUCCCCCAGUAGCGGCGAGCGAACGGGGAGCAGCCCAGAGCCUGAAUCAGUGUGUGUGUUAGUGGAAGCGUCUGGAAAGGCGCGCGAUACAGGGUGACAGCCCCGUACACAAAAAUGCACAUACUGUGAGCUCGAUGAGUAGGGCGGGACACGUGGUA
RNAcentral lists this ribosomal RNA (391 nucleotides) under Escherichia coli. RNAcentral's name for it is "partial 23S ribosomal RNA". It matches the Rfam family "Bacterial large subunit ribosomal RNA", at positions 1 to 431 of the family's 2925-position model. Lineage: Bacteria; Pseudomonadati; Pseudomonadota; Gammaproteobacteria; Enterobacterales; Enterobacteriaceae. The record is from RNAcentral.